Molecule: ribosomal RNA, 465 nt
Filed under: uncultured bacterium
Lineage: Bacteria
Description: partial 16S ribosomal RNA
Rfam family: Bacterial small subunit ribosomal RNA
Source: RNAcentral
GACGAACGCUGGCGGCGUGCUUAACACAUGCAAGUCGAACGGAAAGGCCCCUUUGGGGGUCCUCGAGUGGCGAACGGGUGAGUAACACGUGAGUAACCUGCCCUUGACUUCGGGAUAACUUCAGGAAACUGGGGCUAAUACCGGAUAGGAAUCCUUGCUGCAUGGUGGGGGUUGGAAAGCUUCGGCGGUUUUGGAUGGACUCGCGGCUUAUCAGCUUGUUGGUGGGGUAGUGGCUUACCAAGGCUUUGACGGGUAGCCGGCCUGAGAGGGCGACUGGCCACAUUGGGACUGAGAUACGGCCCAGACUCCUACGGGAGGCAGCAGUGGGGAAUAUUGCACAAUGGGCGGAAGCCUGAUGCAGCAACGCCGCGUGCGGGAUGACGGCCUUCGGGUUGUAAACCGCUUUCAGCAGGGGCGAAGCUUGUGGUGACGGUACCUGCAGAAGAAGCACCGGCUAACUACGUG